This 269-nucleotide ribosomal RNA is filed under the name uncultured Planctomycetales bacterium. RNAcentral's name for it is "partial 16S ribosomal RNA". It matches the Rfam family "Bacterial small subunit ribosomal RNA", at positions 565 to 832 of the family's 1533-position model. The record is from RNAcentral. Lineage: Bacteria; Pseudomonadati; Planctomycetota; Planctomycetia; Planctomycetales.
GAGCACGUAGGUGGGUUUGUAAGUCAGAUGUGAAAGCCUUCUGUUCAACGGAAGAAUUGCAUCUGAAACUACAAACCUUGAGUAUAGGAGGGGAGAAUGGAACUUCUGGUGGAGCGGUGAAAUGCGUAGAUAUCAGAAGGAACGCCGGCGGCGAAAGCGAUCCUCUGGCCUAUUACUGACACUCAGUGUGCGAAAGCUAGGGGAGCAAACGGGAUUAGAUACCCCGGUAGUCCUAACCGUAAACGAUGGGCACUAAGUAGAGGGGUUUU